RNAcentral lists this ribosomal RNA (253 nucleotides) under uncultured bacterium. RNAcentral describes it as "partial 16S ribosomal RNA". It matches the Rfam family "Bacterial small subunit ribosomal RNA", at positions 524 to 776 of the family's 1533-position model. The record is from RNAcentral.
UACGAAGGGGGCUAGCGUUGCUCGGAAUCACUGGGCGUAAAGGGUGCGUAGGCGGGUCUUUAAGUCAGGGGUGAAAUCCUGGAGCUCAACUCCAGAACUGCCUUUGAUACUGAAGAUCUUGAGUUCGGGAGAGGUGAGUGGAACUGCGAGUGUAGAGGUGAAAUUCGUAGAUAUUCGCAAGAACACCAGUGGCGAAGGCGGCUCGCUGGGCUUUUUCUGACGCUGAGGUGCGAAAGCGUGGGGAGCGAACAGG